Molecule: ribosomal RNA, 253 nt
Filed under: uncultured bacterium
Lineage: Bacteria
Description: partial 16S ribosomal RNA
Rfam family: Bacterial small subunit ribosomal RNA
Source: RNAcentral
UACGGAGGAUCCAAGCGUUAUCCGGAUUUAUUGGGUUUAAAGGGUGCGUAGGCGGCCUAUUAAGUCAGGGGUGAAAGACGGUAGCUUAACUAUCGCAGUGCCUUUGAUACUGAUGGGCUUGAAUACACUAGAGGUAGGCGGAAUGUGACAAGUAGCGGUGAAAUGCAUAGAUAUGUCACAGAACACCAAUUGCGAAGGCAGCUUACUAUGGUGUGAUUGACGCUGAGGCACGAAAGCGUGGGUAGCAAACAGG